GAUGAAGAACGUAGCGAAAUGCGAUAAGUAAUGUGAAUUGCAGAAUUCAGUGAAUCAUCGAAUCUUUGAACGCACAUUGCGCCCGCCAGUAUUCUGGUGGGCAUGCCUGUUCGAGCGUCAUUACAACCCUCAGGCCCCCGGGCCUGGCGUUGGGGAUCGGCAGAAGCCCCCUGUGGGCACACGCCGUCCCUCAAAUACAGUGGCGGUCCCGCCGCAGCUUCCAUUGCGUAGUAGCUAACACCUCGCAACUGGAGAGCGGCGCGGCCAUGCCGUAAAACACCCAACUUCUGAAUGUUGACCUCGAAUCAGGUAGGAAUACCCGCUGAACUUAAGCAUAUCAAUAAGCGGAGGA
This 352-nucleotide unclassified non-coding RNA is filed under the name soil metagenome. RNAcentral describes it as "partial contains 5.8S ribosomal RNA, internal transcribed spacer 2, and large subunit ribosomal RNA". The stretch from base 1 to 120 matches the Rfam family "5.8S ribosomal RNA", at positions 35 to 154 of the family's 154-position model. The record is from RNAcentral.